RNAcentral lists this ribosomal RNA (419 nucleotides) under bacterium. RNAcentral describes it as "partial 16S ribosomal RNA". It matches the Rfam family "Bacterial small subunit ribosomal RNA", at positions 355 to 776 of the family's 1533-position model. The record is from RNAcentral.
UGGGGGAUAUUGCACAAUGGGCGCAAGCCUGAUGCAGCGACGCCGCGUGGGGGAUGAAGGCCUUCGGGUUGUAAACUUCUUUUGCUCUGAACAAGGCGCACUUUGGGGUGUGUUGAGUGUAGGGGUUGAUUAGCGCCGGCUAACUACGUGCCAGCAGCCGCGGUAAUACGUAGGGCGCGAGCGUUGUCCGGAAUUAUUGGGCGUAAAGGGCUUGUAGGUGGCUGGUUGCGUCUGUCGUGAAAGCUCAUGGCUAAACUGUGGGUUUGCGGUGGGUACGGGCUGGCUUGAGUGCAGUAGGGGAGGCUGGAAUUCCUGGUGUAGCGGUGGAAUGCGCAGAUAUCAGGAGGAAUACCGGUGGCGAAGGCGGGUCUCUGGGCUGUUACUGACACUGAGGAGCGAAAGCAUGGGGAGCGAACAGG